Molecule: ribosomal RNA, 386 nt
Filed under: Synura spinosa
Lineage: Eukaryota; Synurophyceae; Synurales; Mallomonadaceae
Description: partial small subunit ribosomal RNA
Rfam family: Eukaryotic small subunit ribosomal RNA
Source: RNAcentral
GCUUGUCUCAAAGAUUAAGCCAUGCAUGUCUAAGUAUAAAUCUUUUACUUUGAAACUGCGAACGGCUCAUUAUAUCAGUUAUAGUUUAUUUGAUAGUCCCUUACUACUUGGAUAACCGUAGUAAUUCUAGAGCUAAUACAUGCGUCAAUACCCUUCUGGGGUAGUAUUUAUUAGAUGGAAACCAAUGCGGGGCAACCCGGAUUCUGGUGAUUCAUAAUAACUUUCGGAUCGAUCCUCGGAUCGAUGCAUCAUUCAAGUUUCUGCCCUAUCAGCUUUGGAUGGUAGGGUAUUGGCCUACCAUGGCUUUAACGGGUAACGGAGAAUUAGGGUUCGAUUCCGGAGAGGGAGCCUGAGAAAUGGCUACCACAUCCAAGGAAGGCAGCAGG